AUAUGUAAGAUUUAAUCAGCUCGAGCUCAAAUCAUGAAAUCUCAUAAAAAAUUUUUUUCAUAAUUUACUAUGCCGUGGCCACGCUAUUAUGAACUCAAUUUUAUAAAUCACAUAGGACUACUCCUUAACUACUAAGAUCGAUAGAUCCUAUCUAAGUGCACAUCCUACUCCUAUAGCGAACUACUAUCAUCAACAUACACCA
This 202-nucleotide long non-coding RNA is filed under the name Elaeis guineensis (African oil palm). RNAcentral describes it as "long non-coding RNA (EGUI_LNC004156)". The record is from RNAcentral. Lineage: Eukaryota; Viridiplantae; Streptophyta; Magnoliopsida; Arecales; Arecaceae.